ACCUGCCGCAUACAGGGGGAUAACAGUUAGAAAUGACUGCUAAUACCGCAUAAGCGCACAGGACCGCAUGGUCCGGUGUGAAAAACUCCGGUGGUAUGAGAUGGACCCGCGUCUGAUUAGCUGGUUGGUGAGGUAACGGCCCACCAAGGCGACGAUCAGUAGCCGACCUGAGAGGGUGGCCGGCCACAUUGGGACUGAGACACGGCCCAAACUCCUACGGGAGGCAGCAGUGGGAAAUAUUGCACAAUGGGGGAAACCCUGAUGCAACAACGCCGCGUGAGUGAAGAAUUAUUUCGGUAUGUAAAGCUCUAUCAGCAGGGAAGAGAAUGACGGUACCUGACUAAGAAGCCCCGGCUAACUACGUGCCAGCAGCCGCGGUAAUACGUAGGGGGCAAGCGUUAUCCGGAUUUACUGGGUGUAAAGGGAGCGUACACGGCUGUACAAGUCUGAAGUGAAAGCCCGUGGCUCAACCGCGGAACUGCUUUGGAAACUGUAAAGCUG
RNAcentral lists this ribosomal RNA (501 nucleotides) under uncultured bacterium. Its description in RNAcentral is "bacterial SSU rRNA". It matches the Rfam family "Bacterial small subunit ribosomal RNA", at positions 124 to 643 of the family's 1533-position model. The record is from RNAcentral.